RNAcentral lists this transfer RNA (85 nucleotides) under Felis catus (domestic cat). It matches the Rfam family "tRNA". From Rfam's summary of the family: Transfer RNA (tRNA) molecules are approximately 80 nucleotides in length. Lineage: Eukaryota; Metazoa; Chordata; Mammalia; Carnivora; Felidae. The record is from Rfam by way of RNAcentral.
GCCUGGGCAGCUCAGUCGGUUGAGCAUCUAACUUUGGCUCAGAUCAUGAUCUCACAGCUAGUGGGUUCAAGCCCCGCUCUGGGCU